RNAcentral lists this ribosomal RNA (118 nucleotides) under Purpureocillium lilacinum. Its description in RNAcentral is "partial 28S ribosomal RNA". The record is from RNAcentral. Lineage: Eukaryota; Fungi; Ascomycota; Sordariomycetes; Hypocreales; Ophiocordycipitaceae.
CGGUCACGCCGUAAAACGCCCAAGCUUUACUUAGAGUUGACUCUCGGAUCAGCGCACGUAUGUUGCAAACAUUAAAAUGGGAUGGGGGGGGUGAGGUAACUAAAUUAAAUAAAACAUG